AUACGUAGGUGGCGAGCGUUAUCCGGAUUUACUGGGUGUAAAGGGCGCGUAGGCGGGGGCGCAAGUCAGGGGUGAAAUCUAUGGGCUUAACCCAUAAACUGCACUUGAAACUGCAUCUCUUGAGUGCUGGAGAGGUAGAUGGAAUUCCUUGUGUAGCGGUGAAAUGCGUAGAUAUAAGGAAGAACACCAAUGGCGAAGGCGAUCUACUGGACAGUAACUGACGCUGAGGCGCGAAAGCGGGGGGAGCAAACAGGAUUAGAUACCCGGGUAGUCCACGCUGUAAACGAUGAAUACUAGGUGUGGGGGGACUGACCCCCUCCGUGCCGCAGUUAACACAAUAAGUAUUCCACCUGGGGAGUACGGCCGCAAGGUUGAAACUCAAAUGAAUUGGCGGGG
RNAcentral lists this ribosomal RNA (396 nucleotides) under uncultured bacterium. Its description in RNAcentral is "partial 16S ribosomal RNA". It matches the Rfam family "Bacterial small subunit ribosomal RNA", at positions 523 to 918 of the family's 1533-position model. The record is from RNAcentral.